This 76-nucleotide transfer RNA is filed under the name Ferrovibrio sp. Its description in RNAcentral is "tRNA-Gly". It matches the Rfam family "tRNA". From Rfam's summary of the family: Transfer RNA (tRNA) molecules are approximately 80 nucleotides in length. The record is from RNAcentral. Lineage: Bacteria; Pseudomonadati; Pseudomonadota; Alphaproteobacteria; Rhodospirillales; Rhodospirillaceae.
GCGGACGUAGCUCAGCGGCCAGAGCCUCGGUCUUCCAAACCGAACGUCGCGGGUUCGAGUCCCGUCGUCCGCUCCA